GACGAGUCACUACGGUGAUGAAGUAGCUCAUGCCCCGCUUCCAGGAAAAGCCUCUAAGCUCUAGAUUAUCAUUAAUCGUACCCCAAACCGACACAGGUGGUCAGGUAGAGAAUACUCAGGCGCUUGAGAGAACUCGGGUGAAGGAACUAGGCAAAAUGGUGCCGUAACUUCGGGAGAAGGCACGCUGGCGCUAGGUGAAGUCCCUCGCGGAUGGAGCUGAAGCCAGUCGCAGAUACCAGCUGGCUGCAACUGUUUAUUAAAAACACAGCACUGUGCAAACACGAAAGUGGACGUAUACGGUGUGACGCCUGCCCGGUGCUGGAAGGUUAAUUGAUGGGGUUAUCCGUAAGGAGAAGCUCUUGAUCGAAGCCCCAGUAAACGGCGGCCGUAACUAUAACGGUCCUAAGGUAGCGAAAUUCCUUGUCGGGUAAGUUCCGACCUGCACGAAUGGCGUAAUGAUGGCCAGGCUGUCUCCACCCGAGACUCAGUGAAAUUGAACUCGCUGUGAAGAUGCAGUGUACCCGCGGCAAGACGGAAAGACCCCGUGAACCUUUACUAUAGCUUGACACUGAACAUUGAGCCUUGAUGUGUAGGAUAGGUGGGAGGCUUUGAAGUGUGGACGCCAGUCUGCAUGGAGCCAACCUUGAAAUACCACCCUUUAAUGUUUGAUGUUCUAACGUAGCCCCGUUAUCCGGGGUGCGGACAGUGUCUGGUGGGUAGUUUGACUGGGGCGGUCUCCUCCCAAAGAGUAACGGAGGAGCACGAAGGUUGGCUAAGCAUGGUCGGACAUCAUGCGGUUAGUGCAAAGGCAUAAGCCAGCUUGACUGCGAGAGUGACGGCUCGAGCAGGUACGAAAGUAGGUCUUAGUGAUCCGGUGGUUCUGAAUGGAAGGGCCAUCGCUCAACGGAUAAAAGGUACUCCGGGGAUAACAGGCUGAUACCGCCCAAGAGUUCAUAUCGACGGCGGUGUUUGGCACCUCGAUGUCGGCUCAUCACAUCCUGGGGCUGAAGUAGGUCCCAAGGGUACGGCUGUUCGCCGUUUAAAGUGGUACGCGAGCUGGGUUUAGAACGUCGUGAGACAGUUCGGUCCCUAUCUGCCGUGGGCGUUGGAAGAUUGAAAGGGGCUGCUCCUAGUACGAGAGGACCGGAGUGGACGCACCACUGGUGUUCGGGUUGUCAUGCCAAUGGCAUUGCCCGGUAGCUAAGUGCGGAAGAGAUAACCGCUGAAAGCAUCUAAGCGGGAAACUUGCCUUGAGAUGAGUCUUCCCUGACUCUUAAAGGGUCCUAAAGGAACGUUUAAGACUAAGACGUUGAUAGGUUGGGUGUGUAAGCGUAGCGAUACGUUGAGCUAACCAAUACUAAUGAACCGUGAGGCUUAACCUG
Molecule: ribosomal RNA, 1382 nt
Filed under: Providencia rettgeri
Lineage: Bacteria; Pseudomonadati; Pseudomonadota; Gammaproteobacteria; Enterobacterales; Morganellaceae
Description: partial 23S ribosomal RNA
Rfam family: Bacterial large subunit ribosomal RNA
Source: RNAcentral